This 1393-nucleotide ribosomal RNA is filed under the name bacterium NLAE-zl-G182. RNAcentral's name for it is "16S ribosomal RNA". It matches the Rfam family "Bacterial small subunit ribosomal RNA". The record is from RNAcentral.
AGUCGAGGGGCAGCAUUUUAGUUUGCUUGCAAACUAAAGAUGGCGACCGGCGCACGUNUGAGUAACACGCUAUCCAACCUGCCGAUAACUCGGGGAUAGCCUUUCGAAAGAAAGAUUAAUAUCCGAUAGUAUAUUAAAACCGCAUGGUUUUACUAUUAAAGAAUUUCGGUUAUCGAUGGGGAUGCGUUCCAUUAGUUUGUUGGCGGGGUAACGGCCCACCAAGACUACGAUGGAUAGGGGUUCUGAGAGGAAGGUCCCCCACAUUGGAACUGAGACACGGUCCAAACUCAUACGGGAGGCAGCAGUGAGGAAUAUUGGUCAAUGGACGAGAGUCUGAACCAGNCCAAGUAGCGUGAAGGAUGACUGCCCCUAUGGGUUGUAAAACUUCUUUUAUAUGGGAAUAAAGUAUUCCACGUGUGGGNAUUUUGUAUGUACCAUAUGAAUAAGGAUCGGCUAACUCCGUGCCAGCAGCCGCGGUAAUACGGAGGAUCCGAGCGUUAUCCGGAUUUAUUGGGUUUAAAGGGAGCGUAGGUGGAUUGUUAAGUCAGUUGUGAAAGUUUGCGGCUCAACCGUAAAAUUGCAGUUGAAACUGGCAGUCUUGAGUACAGUAGAGGUGGGCGGAAUUCGUGGUGUAGCGGUGAAAUGCUUAGAUAUCACGAAGAACUCCGAUUGCGAAGGCAGCUCACUAGACUGCAACUGACACUGAUGCUCGAAAGUGUGGGUAUCAAACAGGAUUAGAUACCCUGGUAGUCCACACAGUAAACGAUGAAUACUCGCUGUUUGCGAUAUACAGUAAGCGGCCAAGCGAAAGCAUUAAGUAUUCCACCUGGGGGAGUACGCCGGCAACGGUGAAACUCAAAGGAAUUGACGGGGGCCCGCACAAGCGGAGGAACAUGUGGUUUAAUUCGAUGAUACCCGAGGAACCUUACCCGGGCUUAAAUUGCAUUUGAAUAAUCUGGAAACAGGUUAGCCGCAAGGCAAAUGUGAAGGUGCUGCAUGGUUGUCGUCAGCUCGUGCCGUGAGGUGUCGGCUUAAGUGCCAUAACGAGCGCAACCCUUAUCUUUAGUUACUAACAGGUCAUGCUGAGGACUCUAGAGAGACUGCCGUCGUAAGAUGUGAGGAAGGUGGGGAUGACGUCAAAUCAGCACGGCCCUUACGUCCGGGGCUACACACGUGUUACAAUGGGGGGUACAGAAGGCAGCUACCUGGCGACAGGAUGCUAAUCCCAAAAACCUCUCUCAGUUCGGAUCGAAGUCUGCAACCCGACUUCGUGAAGCUGGAUUCGCUAGUAAUCGCGCAUCAGCCAUGGCGCGGUGAAUACGUUCCCGGGCCUUGUACACACCGCCCGUCAAGCCAUGAAAGCCGGGGGUACCUGAAGUACGAACCGCAGGAG